Molecule: ribosomal RNA, 253 nt
Filed under: uncultured bacterium
Lineage: Bacteria
Description: partial 16S ribosomal RNA
Rfam family: Bacterial small subunit ribosomal RNA
Source: RNAcentral
UACGAAGGGGGCUAGCGUUGUUCGGAAUUACUGGGCGUAAAGCGCGCGCAGGCGGCCAUUCAAGUCAGGGGUGAAAGCCCAGAGCUCAACUCUGGAACUGCCCUUGAAACUGCAUGGCUUGAGUACGAGAGAGGUGAGUGGAAUUCCCAGUGUAGAGGUGAAAUUCGUAGAUAUUGGGAAGAACACCGGUGGCGAAGGCGGCGACCUGGUCCGAUACUGACGCUGAGGCGCGAAAGCGUGGGGAGCAAACAGG